CUCGUACCUUUUGCAUCAUGGUCUAGCCAGUCUACCCAAGCAAAAUGUAACUUUCAGUUUGACACCCCGAAACCAAGCGAGCUACUUCAGAACAGCCAAAAGGGCCAACCCGUCUCUGUUGCAAAAGAGUGGGAAGAUUCUCAAGUAGAGGUGACAAGCCUACCGAGCUUGGAGAUAGCUGGUUGUUCAGAAAAAGAGUUUUAGCUCUACCUUAAGUUUUCCCAUUAAACUAAACAAACCCCAAGACUUAAGAGCUAUUCAAAUAAGGCACAGCUUAUUUGAAAUAGGGCACAGCCUACAACAUAGGGUAAACAAGAGUAACUUAAAUAAAGUAGGCCUAAAAGCAGCCACCUUUAGAAAAGCGUCAAAGCUUAACCAUUCCCUGCUCACAAUACCUUAAAUUUUCACUAACCCCUCACUAUUACUGAACAAUUUUAUAAUCAUAUAAAAGCUAUCAUGCUAGAACUAGUAACAAGAAAUUGCCUUUCUCCUAAAUGUAAACAUAAACCAAAAUAGACUAUCUAUUGGUUAUUAACGUAAAUGCCCAAAUUAUAGCAACAUCCUCCAGAAAAUCCUAUAAUCCCCAACGUUAACCUUACACUAGAACAUUUCAGGAAAGAUUUAAAGAAAAAGAAGAGCCUCGGCAAAUUUUAACCUCGCCUGUUUAC
Molecule: ribosomal RNA, 668 nt
Filed under: Rana temporaria (common frog)
Lineage: Eukaryota; Metazoa; Chordata; Amphibia; Anura; Ranidae
Description: partial 16S ribosomal RNA
Rfam family: Bacterial large subunit ribosomal RNA (bases 1-464)
Source: RNAcentral